GCAAGUCGUGCGCGAAAGCCUUCGGGCGAGUAAAGCGGCGAACGGGUGAGUAACACGUAAUCAACCUACCCCUCAGAUCGGGAUAACUGCUGGAAACGGCAGGUAAUACCGAAUGGUCCCAAAUGGCGGCAUCGUCAUAUGGGUAAAUGGCGGCUUCGGCUGUUGUUGAGGGAGGGGAUUGCGGACUAUUAGCUUGUUGGUAGGGUAAUGGCCUACCAAGGCGACGAUGGUUAGCUGGUCUGAGAGGAUGAUC
RNAcentral lists this ribosomal RNA (253 nucleotides) under uncultured bacterium. RNAcentral's name for it is "partial 16S ribosomal RNA". It matches the Rfam family "Bacterial small subunit ribosomal RNA", at positions 57 to 305 of the family's 1533-position model. The record is from RNAcentral.